AAAUGCGAUAAGUAAUGUGAAUUGCAGAAUUCAGUGAAUCAUCGAAUCUUUGAACGCACAUUGCGCCCGCCAGUAUUCUGGCGGGCAUGCCUGUUCGAGCGUCAUUACAACCCUCAGGCCCCCGGGCCUGGCGUUGGGGAUCGGCGGAAGCCCCCUGUGGGCACAACGCCGUCCCCCAAAUACAGUGGCGGUCCCGCCGCAGCUUCCAUUGCGUAGUAGCUAACACCUCGCAACUGGAGAGCGGCGCGGCCACGCCGUAAAACACCCAACUUCUGAAUGUUGACCUCGAAUCAGGUAGGAAUACCCGCUGAACUUAAGC
This 319-nucleotide unclassified non-coding RNA is filed under the name plant metagenome. Its description in RNAcentral is "partial contains 5.8S ribosomal RNA, internal transcribed spacer 2, and large subunit ribosomal RNA". The stretch from base 1 to 104 matches the Rfam family "5.8S ribosomal RNA", at positions 51 to 154 of the family's 154-position model. The record is from RNAcentral.